This 3179-nucleotide long non-coding RNA is filed under the name Homo sapiens (human). Its description in RNAcentral is "non-protein coding lnc-F3-7:16". Lineage: Eukaryota; Metazoa; Chordata; Mammalia; Primates; Hominidae. The record is from RNAcentral.
UGCUGGACUUAAAUGACCAUUAAUGACCCCUCCAAAUGUAAAUUCCUAUGAUUGAAUGAAUUUUAGCUAAUUGUUCCUAACUUAUUAGUCAUAACCAAACAGUUCACAGAAGGACUCCAGAGUAAAUACAAUUACAAAUGAAAAACAAAUGUUCUGAUGGGAUCCAAAUAUUUGUUGAUAACAAGUGAGAUUUCUUGAGAAGCCUGCAGAAUGUUGUUCUCAAUAGGAGACAUAAUUUUUAAAUAGUAGAAAUUAGAGAAGUAAUACAUUUCAGAAUGUGUUUAAACAUAUUUUCUUUAAUUCAAUCCAUUUAUUAUAUUCAAAACUCGUAUUCACAAGCAAAAAUAACUAAGAACUGAUUAAGACAACUAAAACAAGCUUUUGAUAGGUCUUUUUCGAGGAAGCCCAAAGGUCUCAAGUUUGAUCGCUGUUUGGAAAAUAUGAGCGCAACACUUUAAGACAAAAAUUUCCAUAUGUUGGUCUUAUUAGAAUUCAAAACUCAUUCAUCUGUUCCUUCAUUCAAGAAAUACAUAGUGGGGAGAUAAAAGAAAGACAUAGUGAAAAUCCACUAAGUGUAAUAUACUGUAGACUUUGCAAUAUGAAUAAUUCUAAAAGGAAAAUGAGAUCAUCUAUCAUACAUUUAAACAGUCUUUUAAAAAAUUCAUUUUAUUACAAAGUAAUAAUCAUCCAUUAAAUAAAAAACUUAAAAAAUGGCAAUAGUAAAAAGAAUACCUAUAAUUAUACCAUUUAAUAAAUAUCUACUUUAUUUGGGUAUUCUAUUAUUAUAGCUGAAAAUAUUUUAAUGGAUAUUACUUGGUAGAAAAGCUAGAGCAAAAGACCUUUAGAUCAGUGGUAAUGGAGUGUGCUUUUGAAGUUCGGAUUUCCUGUUAUUUGGCCUGCAAAAUUUUGCUGAGUCAUUUGACCUCAUGGAUCUUCUGAAAUAGUAGUCACAUGACCAGAGUAAACCGUGUAGACCCACAGCUUGCCUGCAGAUACGUAUGUUUUUUCAAACUUGAUUCAACCAGUAUUCACAGAUCACACACUGCCUGCCAUACAUUACAUUAGGGACCUGGAGCUUACUGGGCGGUAUAGGGCCCAGCUUUGUCCACAGAGAGCUUGCUUUCUAGUGAAGAGGACAGGCCCAUAUCUAAGGACUGCAUGUCUGACCUUAAAAAUUUUGGUUAACUCUUUUUUUUUUUUUUUUUUUUUUUGAGACAGAGUAUCACUCUGUCACCCAGGCUGGAGUGCAAUGGCGCGAUCUCGGCUCACUGCAACCUCCACCUCCCAGGUACAAGUGAUUCUCCUGCUUCAGCCUCCUGAGUAGCUGGGAUUACAGGUGCAUGCUACCACGCCUGGCUAAUUUUUGUGUUUUUAGUAGAGACAGGGUUUCACCAUGUUGGUCAGGCUGGUCUCAAACUCCUGACCUUGUGAUCCACCUGCCUCAGACUUCCAAAGUGCUGGGAUUACAGGCAUGAGCCACCACGCCCAGCCAAAAUUCCAAUUAACUCUUAAAAGAAGUAUACACUGUGUGACCAAGGAAGCACAGAGUGAUUCAUUCUGAGAGGGGAGAAUCACAAAGCAAGGAACAUAGAGCCACGCUUUGGAAGAGAAGUAGAAUAAUGAAAGUCAUGUACACUAGAUUUUGAUGGCAUUUUUCCAGGGACCCUGGGAGCAUCUGUGUUCUCGUGUUCUUCUUGCCUGUGAGGCCUCUUCUCUCUGAGGACAGAUGGUAGGACAGAGAGAAGACAGCAAAUGGAAAACAAAGGCUGCUAUUUUUUUGUGGGCCUGUUCUUGAGUCUCCGCAGGCAGCAUUUCUUCCUGUGACAAUAUGGUGUAAGACAAAAUUGUGGCCUGCCAUGAAGUUGUGAGAGAAAAGCAUCCCUCAUUUCUUCAGGAAAGGCCACUGCCGUUCCCUCCGGCUCCUCUUCUCAGGAGUUUGUGCAUUCAUGAGGUGAAUUCCUUGGAAGAUGAGGGCCAAGUCUUAUUCUUCUCAGUCUCUUCUGCAUCUAGCAGAAGAAUAAUGGUUGCACAGAAAAUCUUGGUUCAGUGGUUGAGUGAAUGAAUGGAUGAACAGGCUCUUGCACACAAAGAAGAGACAUGAUGUAUUUGCAUCCUUCCCUGCUUCAGCCAGCACUGUGUCUGGCACAAUUAAUAUUCUUUUGUAGAAACUUGUGUGAAUGGUUUACAUAAACUUGUGUGAGAAGAGAUGUAUCUUGUCUCACUAACUCUUAUCUUGUUAAGUUUUCCCCCAGAAACUGUGAGUGUCCACCCUCUUGAAGGCGCAGUGGCGGAAUGAAGUUCACAGAAUGGAAGAUGUGAGCUGGUCUGAGUGAUGCAAGGGGUGGUCUUGGGUGGGCUCAGUUCCUGCUCCCUCAGAGGCCUUUGGAUCUAUUUUUGCUGUUUCUGUGAACUCCGCCAGUGCUUUUUGGUGCUUUUGCUUCAAACAGCCCCAUACCCGUGAUGUCUUUACUAAGUCACUUGCACAGGACCCUUCCUCUCAGGAUCCACUUCUGGGCAAUCCUCACAAAUAACAGACAAAUGAUAAUAGGUAGCAUUCACUGAGUUUGACCAUGUUUCAGGCACUGUGAUAAGAGCUUUUUACAUGCCCUGGUCCACUUAGUCCUCCAGAAUUCCAUCAGGCAAAGCAGGUGCAAUUAUAGCCUCUUGGCAUAGUUUAAACUUGGGACUGCAGACCCUGGUGCCUGACUGCCUGGGGUCAAAUUUCAGUUCUCCUAGUUACUAGCUGUGUGGCCUUGGGCAAGUCACCUAUUUUCCUCACCUGUAAAAUGGAGAUAAUAAUAGAAUCUACUUCACUGGUUUGCUCUGAUGAGCUAAAGUGAGCAAGGCAUUGAAAUGCUCUGUAGGUAUUUCCUAAAUGAACAAAUACUUCACACAGUAGGCCAUGGAGAUUUACAAAGAUGAAGGCCAGGCAUGGUGUAAUCUCAGCACUUUGGAAAGCCAAUGUGAGAGGAUCGCUUGAGCCCAGGAGUUCAAGAUUUUCUGAAGCUCAGAGGGACACCUUGUAUUGCUGGAUGAUAAAAACAGGAGCAAAGUGAUGAAGUGCUGACAAGGCAACAAUAGAACAUGAGAGAUUCACUGCUGUGUAGGAAGAGAUCUUCGGUGACCAUGUAGCCUGAAGCUCUCAUUUUGUCAUCGAGGGACACCAAAACUCAGAACAG